AGAAACGUUAACAGGUUAACGUUUCUGCAUUUCUGCUUUCUGGGGGGAAAACCUUACGUGGGUAACGUUUUCACUUUCAAACACAAUGCUUCGCGGCAGUUUUUGUCGAAAUUCUCUGAUUAAACACAAUGUACUUUGAAAGUCAGCCAUGUUUUUCCACCGCAUCUACGGGCAUUGGCUUCACGUACCCGCAACAGCUGAGGACAAUGAGGCCGGUCUGUUUGUAAGCAUAAAACAAAGAACCCAUCAUCUCUACCAUCAGACUGGUAUGUUAAAAAGACUUUGGCAGAAUUGAUUCCCUCGACGAAAUUUUGGCAGCGGAAAAGUCACACCUGGCCUUGGGAAUUGCAUGGCAGUGGCUGCCCUUUGGGACUUGCUGAGGAGGGAUACAGUGGACUACAUUGUGUCGUACAGAGGAGAAUCAGUGAGCUCAGAUCCCACCAGGACAGUGUCAGAGACACAUACAGUCGCAUUAUAGGCCUGGAUGCCACUAUUCUAGAUGAGGACAUUGAGAAUGAAGAUUUUGAAAGCAGCCAAUGUGACAGUACAGGGGAAGAGGAAGAGGAACCAUAGCAGAACUGACUGUGUGUUUGGCUUAGCUGGAUGUUUACUUUAAAUAAAAUAAAGU
Long non-coding RNA from Acipenser ruthenus (sterlet), 628 nucleotides. RefSeq lists it as uncharacterized. NCBI's taxonomy places the organism in Eukaryota, Metazoa, Chordata, Actinopteri, Acipenseriformes, Acipenseridae. The record is from RefSeq and is a predicted model, not a curated record. The transcript has 3 exons.